AGCGUGGAGGAGUCGUGGUGAAUUAACGGUAAAACGCGCGUGACCAACGGAACUAACCUCUCCGACUCCAUGUCAUCAGCGAGGAGGGUUAGCAAAGCGCCGGACAUGUCCGCCAACUGCUGCUGCUUUCUGAUAAAAGAACAUGGCAAGAAUUUCCAGAAAUAGACGGUGUGACCGAUUGCCCAGGUUUUACCUCCUGGAGAUGUUGGUGCCACUUCUCUUUCCCGACGAUCUGACGGUGGAAAACCACCGGGGCAGCGCUCAGACUGAACGAUGUCAUCUCUGCCAGCCUGGUCUUCACAAAUGGCUGCAGUUCUCCUUUAAAGAGUCCAUUUUAGCUUCCACCAUGCUGUGAAUCCAGCAGAGGUCGCGCAGUUGGGUAUCUGCAGGGAGCCUCGGCAAGAGAUGGCAAACCACUACAGCGCUGUGAUUAAGAUCAACUCCAGUUUGAAGCAUUUGAUGAACACAGAUACAGCAACGCUAGAGGAGGGCCAAUUACUCAUGCAUUCAGACACGACUGCAACAUGUGGAUCAGAAGCUCAUUUAGUCCUUUGCUUUGAUUUAACUUCAUCACAGUCAUAAAAAGUACAUCAGUCACAGGAGGGAUAAAGCUUGCUAAGAAAAAAAAGCAAUGUUAACUAAAGUGAAACUCAAUUAAAAUAAUUUCUUCAGCACUAGAGGCCUUUAUUUUUGACAGUAGGCAGACAGGAAGGAGGGGCAAAGAGAGGGGGAGACAUUUGGCAAAGGUCGCUGGGUCCGGGACUGGAACCCGGGACGGCUGCCUCGAGGACUAUAGGACUAUAUGUGGUCACGCGCUAAGACCUACACCACCAGCGCCGCUAAUCUAAGUCCUCAAUCAUAUCAGAUUAAUAUUUUCCUUCCAAUUAGCCAGAAAUGCUUGAUGAAAGAAAAAAAUUAAACGAAAAAUUGCAUAACCUGGAGAAUUCUUCAUUAACCCCCUUAUUCAUAAGAUUAUUUUAAAAAGUCUGGUUGGUCACUGUUUUGAUUCCC
Molecule: long non-coding RNA, 1011 nt
Organism: Girardinichthys multiradiatus
Lineage: Eukaryota; Metazoa; Chordata; Actinopteri; Cyprinodontiformes; Goodeidae
Exons: 5
Source: RefSeq, a predicted model, not a curated record